CAUGAAAUGCACAACAUGUGCCCUGUUGUAUAACAUAGUCUAAUAUUGCAUGGUCUAUAGUAAGAACCUUUGGGCUGGGCCAGGAAUGUGCUACAAGAAAUAUUAAAUGAAAAUAUGUAGCUACUUUCCUACAUCAGCAUAAUAUGGACGUUUGCAAAGGUCUAAUGUACAUGUUGAUUUGUAUUGCAGAUAUUUCUGUCUUAUCAACAAUACCUUAUUAAACAUCAUACUAUAAUGGUAUUUUGCUUUGCCAGUAGAGUAGAAUAUUUAAAUACACAUGCUCAUCAUACUGUAUUUCUGACAGGUUCCCAUAUUAACUACAACUUGUAAGUUGUGGUAGCAAAACACACACACACACACACAAAAAGGUUUUAAACUACAGGCUUUGGAGAAAUGAUACGAAACUGAAAAAAUUAUAAGGGUAGAUCAAGUUAUCACAUACUGCAUAAAUAAUGUAAAUUUUGAGUGCAAUAAGUUAUAGCAGCUUCACAAUUAGAAUAGUAGGACUAGUGUAUUAGAGAAUCUCUUCAUUCUGUCCAGCUGUCUCUCAAAAGUAAGGCUGAAAGUGGCCUCCAGCUUCUAGACUUUAAUCCACAGUCAUUCUGCUGGCCUGCCCUUGUUUCAGCUUUGCCAAAGACAUAUGCUUGAGUUUUUGAAGUGAUUAGAUUUGUCUGGGCUAGAGCCUCAAGGGGAGAACGUGAGGUUUCUGUGUAUAUUUCUUUUUACACUUCUCUACUGUUGUUUUAACCAUGUUUCUGUGUUGUUUAAAGGGAUAGUACCAGGAUAAAAAACUCCCUUGCAGAAUUCUUGCUGGGCCUUUUAUGAAUGAUUUGGCAAGAAGAGAGGCCAGCUGCUACCCCCCAACUCUGCAGAACUGGCACACUGCAGCUCCUUUGUGCGGCUGCUGCAAAUCUACAUAGCUCUGCUGAAGACGGUGGAGCCACGCUAAUUUACACCAGGUGAGGAUAUGGCCCAUCAUGCCCAAGAGGCUCGCUGUAGAGGGGUGAUCUCACCUAAGAUGAGGCUACAGGAAGGGACUGGUAACUAUCGCAGGAGGUGGAUGCCUUCUCUGUAUGAUUUACAAGUUUGGCCUCAAAUAGGAAACUGGUUGGUUCUUAAAACUGCUGUGCUAAGAACUCUUCCCAGGCAGUAAUUUUCCUUUUAACUGUUAAGGAAGUGAGCAGCUUCACACUGAAACAUGAAGCCAUUCUCCUCUCUCCUGCAGUCCCACCCCGUAAGCUCAGGAGAGGUCCCAUCCUGCCCCCACUGCUGCCAGCGCUAAACUCCCCAUGGCUUCAAUGGCGUAAGAUUGAGCCCAUUGUUUAGGGCACUACUUGGUCAGUUCAGACAGAGCUUAACACAGACCGUCCCCUGACCUCCUCCUAACUCCAGCUGUCACAAUGCCUACAGGGCUCAGGAAGCUGGUGGGCUGGGAUGGCUGCUUAUCAUGCUGACCAGCAGUGUCUGUUUCCCUGUGCUCCCCUGUCUGUUUUUCGUAUUCACUUGUGGUCUCUCAUCUUCCACUUUGACUGUAAACUCUUUGGGGCAGGGACUGUCUUUCUGUUCUGUGUCUGUUCAACAUCUAGAGCAGUGGGGUCCUGAUCCAGGAGAGUGGGCCCCUGUGCACAUUGUGCUCGAGUGUAAUUUUCCUUGCUUGUUGUCAGCUUUGGGGGUUUAGGUUUGUAAAAGGAAUCCAGUUCACGCAGAAAUAAAACAUUUCAGUUCACACACAUGCAGCUUGUUCCCCUCCACAUUAAUUGCUGGGCAAAAACCAUAUUCAUGAGUAAUUCUGUUUCCCUGUAGCUCAGACUCCUUACAGAGUGGAGUGUUUGACUUGCUUGUUGUGGAUUUGUUCGGUUGAAAGAACAAACAUCCAGCAAAACCGUGAAAGUUGUUCAGUUUGAAUUGCUUUCCCCCCCUCAACCCCCAGACAUCACAUGCUAUCUAUUGAGAUAGAUUAUUUUU
Molecule: long non-coding RNA, 1965 nt
Organism: Dermochelys coriacea (leatherback sea turtle)
Lineage: Eukaryota; Metazoa; Chordata; Testudines; Dermochelyidae
Exons: 2
Source: RefSeq, a predicted model, not a curated record